UACGUAGGGUGCGAGCGUUGCCCGGAUUUAUUGGGCGUAAAGAGCGCGCAGGCGGUCGAUCAAGUCGAGUGUGAAAGCCCCCGGCUCAACUGGGGAGGGUCAUUCGAUACUGAUCGACUCGAAGGCAGGAGAGGGUAGUGGAAUUCCCGGUGUAGUGGUGAAAUGCGUAGAUAUCUGGAGGAAUACCGGUGGCGAAGGCGGCAUCCUGGACCGGCAUUGACGCUGAGGAGCGAAAGCCAGGGGAGCAAACGGG
This 253-nucleotide ribosomal RNA is filed under the name uncultured bacterium. RNAcentral describes it as "partial 16S ribosomal RNA". It matches the Rfam family "Bacterial small subunit ribosomal RNA", at positions 524 to 776 of the family's 1533-position model. The record is from RNAcentral.